This 255-nucleotide ribosomal RNA is filed under the name uncultured bacterium. RNAcentral describes it as "partial 16S ribosomal RNA". It matches the Rfam family "Bacterial small subunit ribosomal RNA", at positions 99 to 354 of the family's 1533-position model. The record is from RNAcentral.
CGGACGGGUGAGUAACGCGUGGAAAACCUGCCGUAUACUGGGGGAUAACACUUAGAAAUAGGUGCUAAUACCGCAUAAGCGCACAGCUUCGCAUGAAGCAGUGUGAAAAACUCCGGUGGUAUACGAUGGUUCCGCGUCUGAUUAGCUAGUUGGUGAGGUAAAAGCCCACCAAGGCGACGAUCAGUAGCCGGCCUGAGAGGGUGAACGGCCACAUUGGGACUGAGACACGGCCCAGACUCCUACGGAAGGCAGCAG